Molecule: non-coding RNA, 1781 nt
Organism: Gasterosteus aculeatus aculeatus (three-spined stickleback)
Lineage: Eukaryota; Metazoa; Chordata; Actinopteri; Perciformes; Gasterosteidae
Source: RefSeq, a predicted model, not a curated record
AUCGCCAUUAACAAGUGAACUAGUGAAAUGUAAUGAAAACUACUGGAUGGAUCCAAAAGGGACUAGACUAUUGUAUGGAAAACAAUGAAAUUUGUUUGUUUUUCUUCUAAAGACUAAAUGUAAAAAUGACGAAUCACUUUAGAAAGCGUGUAUUUUAGACCCUGUUGUUUAAUUGUUAAUAUCAUUUUAAACAUAACACUACACACAUUUGAUCAUCUUUGAGGCAGAAUCCAACUGCGUGGAACAUGUUGGAAGUAGCGACUCUUCCUGCUGUCCUUGUGAACUUUUCUGUGCUCUCAACUCUCCAUCAUUUGGCGGCUGUGUUUUUGACUCCAGUGCCAUUAACAAGUGGACAUUUGGGCCUCAAGUAAAAUGUUACAACAAUUACUGUGGAUUGUAAAGCCCUGUAAUGCAGAUGUCCAAGGGGACUAGACUAUUGGAUGGAAGACAACAGAUGAAUUGUGUUUCAAACUUUAGUCGAGGCUACAAGACGCAGCUGCACAUCAGUAAAAACCUCCCCUACAAAUCCUCACGAAAAAGGUAGAGUAGGUGUUGAAACUACCACUCUGCUCAAUAAUGUUGACUGGUUUGCGUCUUCAUUCCCCGCAUCUGUCCAAUAACUCUCCCACAUCUGUAUUUAACAUGUAUGGUUGUGAAGCGUAUGAAGAGGGCCAAUACGUUUGGCUUUUUUUUAUGACGCUGUUCUUUGUUUUGGGAUUUCCUGCAUCUAUUGCCAUCCUGUGGCAGAUGUUUAAGGCUCACUGGGGAGGAAGUCUCUUCACACCAAAUGAUUUUUUCAUACUGAAUGUCUCCAUCAUGGACGCUGUCUUCUUGUUCUUCAUCCCUUUUGGAUUAAUGAAUAAUUUUAUCUGGAUGUAUUGGCCUUUUGAAACAUUUCUUAAUGGUGUCUAUGCCUUGAACACAUGUGGGAGACCCCUCAUGAUGGCUUGUAUCUGUCUGGACUGUUACCUGGCUGUGGUUCAUCCAAUAACCUACCACAAGAGGAAAAGUCUGACUCCCAGGGUGGUGAUGACUGGCAUUGUUUGGAUUUUGACAAUAGCCUCUGGAAUUAUAUACUAUACUUUUUAUCUGUUAUUCUACACCAUCUUUUCCACUCUCCCAUUGAUAGUAGCAAUGGUGAUAAUCGCGAUCUGUGAUUCUCUCAUCCUCCAUUCACUCAUUAAAAGUGACCUCGGUAGAAACAUCCACCCUCAGAAGCAAAGAGCCAUUCACACCCUCACCAACAGCCUGGUGAUCUCAGUCCUGUCUUACCUUCCCCCAGUGCUUCUGAUAGUAGUUGUAAAGCCCCAGGUCAGUGAAGAUAUCUUCAAAUGUUCUAUUGCUUAUCCUAUGACCCUUACUUCCUGUAUGGGAUCUACUCUCAUGUCAUUACUCCACCUUAAAAGUCAUGGGCAGUUGGAUUGUUUCAGGGUUGGAUGCUGCAGGAAGUCUUAAGUCAUAAAUCAGGUGCCGUAGAAGCUUUAAAACAUUUUAACUUUCAGAAGUCGAGUUUCAGUCAGCUCUGAAAUAACUUACAUCCCGACUAAAUCAUAUUAUCAUAUACAAAUUCAAAUCAAGACAUAUGUUUGUUCAAUGGGAUUCUUUCCCUGAUUAAAUUUAUAUAAUGUCAUGCUGUACUUGAAUGUUGUUGCUUAUAAUCCACUGAAUUACAUAUUUGCUCAAAUUAUUUAUUUUCCUAAAUAAGAAAACCGAUAACAAUCCUGUUACUUAAAAAGUCUCUAUAGUCAAAUCUGUACUCUUGAAACAAUGCAUGUGUGGAA